RNAcentral lists this long non-coding RNA (765 nucleotides) under Cricetulus griseus (Chinese hamster). Its description in RNAcentral is "lncRNA (ENSCGRG00000025068.1)". The record is from RNAcentral. Lineage: Eukaryota; Metazoa; Chordata; Mammalia; Rodentia; Cricetidae.
CAAGCUCUCUCGUCCUGAGAAGAUGUCCUUUAGUGACACUGUGCAUCUCAAAUCNNNNNNNNNNNNNNNNNNCCCCCCCCCCCCUGGCCCCCCGCCCCCCCGGGAGCCUGCCCCCCUCUCACCUUCUCCAGCCUGGCCCACCCCCUGCCACCCCAGCAGCAGCAGCAACAGCAGCCGCCGCCGCCGCCGCCCCAACAGUCACAGCCACAGCAGCCGCAGGCACCAACUCAGGGCCCCUCAACUGUAGGGGGUGCCCCUCCACUGCACACCCCAAGCCCCGAUGGUUGUACUGCACCAGGGGGAAAACAAGCCGGAGCUGAAGGCUACGGCCCCCCCGCUGUGAUGGCCAUGCACCCUCCCCCGCUGCAGCACGGAGGCUACCACCCUCAUCAGCACCACGCCCACUCCCACCCGGCCCAGCAGCCGCCGCCGCAGCAAGCACAGAGCCAGGCGCCCAUCAACAGCACUGGCUUUGCCUUUCCUCCAGACUGGUGCUCCAGUAUUGACUCCUUAAAGGAAAGCUUCAAGAUGGUGAACCGGCUCAACUGGUCCAGCAUCGAGCAGUCCCAGUUCUCAGUGAACUCUUACGGGCAUCCACCAGCUCCCCAUCUCUACCCUGGCCCAGCACCAAUGUACCCAAUCUCCACCCAGGACACAGCAGGAUACAGUCGCCCAGCGCACCACAUGGUUCCUCGGCCACCUGUCCCACCUCCCGGUGCCAAUGAGGAGAUCGCUGAUGACUUCGACUGGGACUUGAUCACUUAA